Molecule: long non-coding RNA, 706 nt
Organism: Gossypium arboreum
Lineage: Eukaryota; Viridiplantae; Streptophyta; Magnoliopsida; Malvales; Malvaceae
Exons: 2
Source: RefSeq, a predicted model, not a curated record
AAUUGAAGGCUCCGCGCAAAGGGAAGGACCUAACGCGUAAAUUGUCCAUUUGAAAGAACAAGGCGCGGAUCCAGGUACUCUAAUAGGCUAGCGCGCGGAUCCUUAAAAGCAUGGUCCAGCACCACGUUUUUUUUCAAUGAAUUUAAAACCCUUUUUCAUCCUUUUUUCCCAAAUGCUGCCCAUCUUCCAAACAAAGAACCACAACCCCAAAAUUAAAAUUGCUAGGGUUCUUUACAUCUGCCAGAUUCACCAUUUUGUUUGGCAAUCGACAGUAUACCACCAUGAAGAGAUCCAUGCCACGUUCAUGAAAAUAUUAUUUGGUCGUACAGUGGAGGUGUGCGCGCGAGGAAUCACUCGUGGGAGUUCCAAUUUUUGGCCUAUUCUGGUACAUUCCAGAAGCUCCUAGUGCUGCUGAGAAUUUUGGGUGUAUUGGGCCUCGAGUUUUAGGGCUAAUUCUUAUUGGGUUUGGGGACUUAGAAUUUGGGCAUCUGUUAUGUAAUUGGGGCUAAAAUUUUGGAGUAUUUGGUUAGAAAAUGAGUUUAUUAGAAUUGGGUUUUAAUUUUAUGUAAAGGGUUUUAGGGUAUUUGUUUAAUUGGGUUAGGUGUUUUGUAAAUGGGCCCGGAUAAAAUGGGCUUAUUACAAAAUGUAUGGUUUAAAAUUAAUUAAUAAUAACACAUGAAAUAUGUACGUUAUUAAAAUGGAAAAA